RNAcentral lists this transfer RNA (77 nucleotides) under Marivita lacus. Its description in RNAcentral is "tRNA-His". It matches the Rfam family "tRNA". From Rfam's summary of the family: Transfer RNA (tRNA) molecules are approximately 80 nucleotides in length. Their secondary structure includes four short double-helical elements and three loops (D, anti-codon, and T loops). The record is from RNAcentral. Lineage: Bacteria; Pseudomonadati; Pseudomonadota; Alphaproteobacteria; Rhodobacterales; Roseobacteraceae. RNAcentral also lists the same sequence under 1 other name.
GCCGGCAUAGCUCAGUAGGUUAGAGCGCUUGAUUGUGGAUCAAGAGGUCCCCCGUUCGAGCCGGGGUGCUGGUACCA